CAGACCGCAACCAGACGCCAGAUGUUUUGUAAUAUAUUCAGAUAAAAAGGCAUUAAUAUUUUACAGUACGAACGACCUUGUCUACAGUCUGAGAAACAGUGUUGCUGAGAAAAUUUCUGGUAAGUUUGUUCAUGUUUCUACAUUACAUUCACACGAGAGCUGACGGAUCGCAACUGGACGCAAAUAAGUCGCAUUUCAUUUGUUCACACGGGGAUUCGUGUGGUUAUCUGUGAUCAAAUUAUCUGGUUUCAAACCUCGCGUGUAAACAAGAAGCGAGAUUGUUAACAUUUGAGUACAAAUUUGAGUAUGGUACAGAACUCCUCCUGUCUGACACUCAAAUUUUUGCGAUUUCGUCUAGCGCGCAUUCAUGGAACGCAAGAAACCAGAUGUACUAGAGCACAGCUGUAGUGUAGGAAUUCCCGUGUGGACAAAUGAAGGAGAACAAUUGAUGUGAUAUAAUCUUGAAGUGUGUAUGCCAGUGUAGGUAGUGCCAAUAAUAUGAACAAGCUUUCGUUGCUAGGGAUGCAACUACCUGAAAAAUAUAAGGAGAAUUUCGACGUUUCAAGUGAAGGCCCUUCGUCUGGAGUUACUGGAUGAAGGAUCUUCGCUCGAAACGUCGAAAUUCUCCUUAUAUUAUAUACGUAUAUGAACAAUUGAUGUACAAUUCCAAAUUCACUUGGUCUCGCGUGAACAGGGUCUCCUGCGCAAAUAUUUCCAUUGUAAGUUCUUAGCAAGCCCUAAAGCCUGCCGCACACGAGAGCUAUCUGCUGAGCAAAAAGUUACUCGUGCCUGUUAGCUCAGCCGAUAGCUCACCGAUCAAACAUGUUUGAUACGUGAGAAAAGGUUGCAUGAGGCAAAAAACUCAGUAAAAUGUACCCGCACACGGUGAGCUAUCGGCUGAGCUAACAGGCACGAGUAACUUUUUGCUCAGCAGAUAGCUCUCGUGUGCGGCAGGCUUAACGAGUUGCUUUGAGUGAUAGUCAUUACACUCUGGCAUAAAAUAUUCUAUUGACCAAUUCCGCGUCUCGAGUAUAAAACGCUUAUAUACAGCUAUGUUUCAUGUUUUGCGUUGAAAUAAAGGAAAAGAAAUGUUGCCUUAUUCGAUCUUAAUGAACAUUAGAUCUAUAUAUUUUGGUAUUCGUGGUAAUGUAGACUUUUCAUAUUCAUUGCUUGUUUAAACAUGUAAUGCGCAUGUGCAGUUAGGGAUGGGCCACAGAAUAACAUCGCGAAUAAAUUGUGUUCAUUUCUGAAAUUCUGACCUGCAAUAACUUUAUUAUGUCAGAUCGAGUGUAAAAUAUAGGAUACACUAGAAAUACAUUACUGCAAACCCCUAUAGCUUGCCCAAAUUCCUGAGAGUUUAAAUCUCGUGUGCUCAAUGCUUAUAAAGAAUAAGAACUCAUCAUCAAUCUCUGUAAACUUGAUAGCUUAACAGGUAGAGCAGUGGACUGAUUCCUGAAGAUUGAGAGUUUAAAUCUCGUGUACUUAUAAAGGAUAAGAACUCAUCACCAUGCAAUCUCUGUAGACUUGGUAACUAAACAAGGUUGAGAGGUUCCUUAGUGUUAAUUUUUCAUUAUGAUUUACAGAUAAAUUUUCCAAGAAAAUUUACGAUCUCCCUUGACACUAAAGAAGACAGUAAUUUCCCUGGUCAUUGAACAUUGAAAGGAAAUGCUUAUCUGGGUUCUGCCUUACAGGUAAAUAGCUUUAUGCGCAGGUUUUUACGCAUACAUGCUCUAACGCAAUUUUGAC
This 1746-nucleotide long non-coding RNA is filed under the name Paramuricea clavata. Lineage: Eukaryota; Metazoa; Cnidaria; Anthozoa; Malacalcyonacea; Plexauridae. The record is from RNAcentral.